UACGUAGGGUGCAAGCGUUGUCCGGAAUUAUUGGGCGUAAAGAGCGCGUAGGCGGUUUAUCGAGUCAGCUGUGAAAGUUCGGGGCUCAACGCCGGAACUGCCGUUGGUACGGUCAGACUAGAGAGCGGUAGAGGAGGCUGGAAUUCCUGGUGUAGCGGUGGAAUGCGCAGAUAUCAGGAGGAACACCAGUGGCGAAGGCGGGUCGCUGGGCCGCAACUGACGCUGAGGAGCGAAAGCGUGGGGAGCGAACAGG
Molecule: ribosomal RNA, 253 nt
Filed under: uncultured bacterium
Lineage: Bacteria
Description: partial 16S ribosomal RNA
Rfam family: Bacterial small subunit ribosomal RNA
Source: RNAcentral